CGGGAGGAGGCGGGAGAAGGGGGCUUCCAGGAGAGGGCGCCGGUGGGGCGUGGUGGGAGAGGGAGCAGAAGGCGGGGCGGGUGCGGAGGGGCGGCGGGGCGCGGGGUGAGCCCCAGCCUUGUAGCGGAGAGGUGCGGGGUCGGGGGUGGGCCCCAGGCAGCUCCCUCUUUAAAAGGCCUGCGGAAGCCGCGCGCUGGGCCCCACUGCCGCACAAACUUGGCGGGCCGGGCCCGCGCCUUCCCGAGCGCGGCCGCGGCCGUGGGCGCGGGGCUGAGCCGCCGCGGCUCCCUCGGCCCUCGUGGUCCCGGAGCCCGCCCCUCUCGCGUCUUCACUGCUCUCCGGUCUCCCGCUCCCUCUCUCGCUCGCUCGCUCUCCAGCGCGCUCUCUCGCUCGCUCUCCUUUUUCUCCUGCUGCCGUGCGGCUGCCGCGGCGCCGCCGGGCGCCCGCAUCUCAGCCGGCGGCGCUCGCGGCUCGGCUCCCGCUCCACUGCCUUCCCAGCGCGGAGCCCUCGGCCGGACGCCGCUCCCGGAGCCGCUCCCACUCUCCCUCGCGCUCGGACGCCGAGCUCCGCGGCGGACGGAACCGAGCCUCCCGCCGCUCCCUAGCUCGCCGGCUCGCUCUCGGAGCAGCAGCCGCCCGCCGCGCGCUCGGAGGCAGCCCGGGCCGGGCGGCCGCCAGCUCCUUCCCGCUGCGUCCGGGACUCCGGGCGGCUCCUCGCCGGGAUCGGUCCGCAGCGUCAGAGCCGCCCGCCGCGGCCCGGGCUCCGGCCACCGCGAGCCGCCAGCCUCCGGCCGCCGCCUCCCUGCGCCCCCGAGCGCUCGCCGGCGCGCGGUGAGUUGUGGCCCGCGGGUACGGGCGGAGGGGACGGCGCCCUCCGGCCUCGGGGGCGCGAGCUGCGGCGGGGACUCUGGGGUUCCGAGAGGUGGCCUCUGGCUGGCUCCCACGCUCGGCGCUGCCCAGAGGAGGGCCGGUGGACCGGAGCUCUCGGGGCUGGAGGACAUGGGACCCGGGGUAGAGGGUCUCUCCUCGGGGCUGGGACCGGGAGUGGGGCGGCGGGUCUUCUGCGGGUCCGGGGGAAAGUGUUCCUGUGCCUGGGGUUGUGUCGGGUUUCCCCGGCUGGGGGGUCGAGCCCGCGCUCAGGUGGGGACGGUGGCGUCAGUGCGCCCCCUCUGCGGAGAGGCAGGGCCGGCGGGGGCGCGGGCCGUUCUGUGUCCCGGUCCCCGCGGGUCUCUGGGCGGGAGGGCAGCGCCAGCCUUGCGAGCUCCUUCCCGCGGGCCGGCCCCACGUCCGGCUCCCCUGGCGCCCCAGCGUCGCGUUGGUCUCCGGCCGGCUCCGGCGCGCGCUGGCGCUCGGCGGAGGCGGGAUGGGACGGCACCCCAGGGUCUGGGGUCUCCCCAGGGCCCUGGGACUUCGGGGUCAGGUGCUUCUCAGACACUCGGGACCGACCCUCUCUCGGACCCUGAUGAACCUUUGCUUCUACGCGAACGCCCGGCGGGCAGCCGGCUGAGUUGUGUGUGUGUGUGGGGGGGCGGUUUGGGGGUCCCCUCCGGGGUCGGGCCGAGUGUGUAUGUGUGUGUUGGGGGUUCCCCUCCGGGGUCGCGCCGAGUGUGUGUGUGUGUAUGUGUUGGGGGUUCCCCUCCGGGGUCGGGCCGAGUGUGUGUGUGUGUGUUGGGGGGGUCCCCUCCGGGGUCGGGCUUCCCAGUCGCCCUGGAGCUGGAGGCGUCCCCUCCCUGA
RNAcentral lists this long non-coding RNA (1734 nucleotides) under Bos grunniens (domestic yak). RNAcentral's name for it is "lncRNA (ENSBGRG00000020959.1)". Lineage: Eukaryota; Metazoa; Chordata; Mammalia; Artiodactyla; Bovidae. The record is from RNAcentral.